AGAUAGAUAUUAUCAAAAAAAAAAAAAAAUUCCUAAGAGAAAACCAAAGCCAGAGCCGAAGCAGCUCCCUAGAUCCGAUCAGAUCCAUUCAACUUCAUCUCUCUCUCUCUCUCUGUUUGAUUUUCUCUCUCUAAACCCCCUUUCUCUCUUUCUGAAAUUUCCCUACACAGCACUCUUUUUACCCCAAAUCCUCCCAAUUAGGGUUUCGUCUGUUCUUGAUUUCGCUUUCAAUUGGAAGAAAAAUGCGCGGGAUCGAGAAGAAGAAGACGCAUGGUACCUGAAGCAUUCUUCUCCGCUGGAAAAAAAAGUGAAGGAAAGAAAAUAAAUAUUAUUGCAUGAAGCUUUGGUGCUUUCUAUGCUUCAACGAAGAAGAAGAGGUAGAAGAUAAAAAGAGUGAUAACAAUCUAAUGAAGCGUAACGAAGAGGACAUCUUCAGAAACGACGACGUCGUUUCGGGGACGGCGAUUCCUGUCGACGAAGAGGAAGAAGAAGAAGAAGAAGAAGAAGAAGAGGAAGAGGAAGACGAAGAGGGAGAAGACGGCGUUUACGACGAUGCCGCCGCUGCUCUCGUUUUUGGAAAUGACAACGACGAACUACCUGCUGUGCCGGUUUCCGGUGAGCUAUUCCGGUUGUUCGAGGGCUAUGGGUUUGGUUCAUGGGCCGGUCCGCGCCGGUCCGAGGGAGAGAGCAGCUCCGGUUCUUCCGCUGCUCCCACCGGUUCGGAGAGCCACAAGCGGCCCAAGGUUUACGCUGAUUUCGGUGAAUGUCAUUAUGGAACCUCUGCGUCUUUGAAUACUGGGAAGUCCACUGCAUCUGCUGACUAUGGAGAUUAUGAUUAUCUUCAAGGCUCGUCUCUUCAACCGACCAGUGAUGUAUGUUAUGAUGAUUUUACAUUGAUGUGUACUGGUGAGGAGAAUGGCUUUAAUGCUAGCUGCGCGAAAGACGGCGACAAUAGUGACAUUUCAAAGGGAGAAGACCUAGAAGUCAGGAUGGAUCUCACAGAUGACUUGCUGCAUAUGGUGUUCUCAUUUUUGGAUCAUCCCAACCUUUGCAAAGCUGCCAGAGUUUGUAAGCAGUGGCGAGUUGCUAGUGCUCACGAAGACUUCUGGAAGAGUUUGAAUUUUGAAGAUCGGAAUAUAUCUGUAGAACAAUUUGAAGACAUGUGUAGGCGGUAUCCAAAUGCUACAGCAAUGAGCAUAUCUGGUCCAACUAUUUACUUGCUGGUCAUGAAAGCUAUCUCUUCAUUGCGGAAUCUUGAGGUGCUAACCUUAGGAAGAGGACAGAUAGCAGAUACUUUUUUUCAUGCGUUAGGUGAUUGUUCUAUGUUGAAGAGAUUGAAUAUCAAUGAUUCUACACUUGGAAAUGGCAUACAGGAGAUAUCUAUUAACCAUGAGAGAUUGUGCCAUAUUCAGUUAACCAAAUGCCGUGUGAUGCGAAUAGCAGUCAGGUGCCCACAGCUAGAAACCAUGUCACUGAAGCGUAGUAACAUGGCACAGGUGGUUCUUAAUUGCCCUUUGUUGCAUGAGCUUGAUAUAGGUUCUUGUCAUAAACUUCCUGAUGCUGCAAUUCGAGCGGCUGCGACUUCAUGCCCACAACUAGCGUCUCUAGACAUGUCUAAUUGUUCGUGUGUUAGUGAUGAAACUCUGCGUGAAAUAGCACUGAGUUGUGCUAACCUUAGUUUUCUUGAUGCAUCAUAUUGCCCAAAUAUAUCUUUGGAGUCGGUUAGACUGCCAAUGUUGACUGUUUUGAAGCUUCACAGCUGCGAGGGAAUCACUUCAGCCUCAAUGGCUGCAAUAGCUCAUAGUUAUAUGUUGGAGGUUUUGGAGCUUGACAAUUGCAGUCUAUUGACUUCAGUGUCUUUGGAUCUACCACGUUUGCAGAAUAUUAGACUGGUACACUGUCGCAAAUUUGUUGACUUGAACUUGAGGACACUAAUGUUGUCUUCUAUACUGGUGUCCAACUGCCCUGCGCUUCACUGUAUCAACAUCACUUCAGAUUCACUAAAAGAAUUAAAAUUGCAAAAGCAGGAUAGUUUGACAACAUUAGCUCUGCAAUGCCAGUCAUUGCAAGAAGUGGACCUUUCUGAGUGUGAAUCUUUGACGAAUUCAAUUUGUGAUGUUUUUAGUGAUGGUGGAGGUUGUCCUAUGUUGAAAUCAUUAGUUCUUGAUAAUUGUGAGAGUUUAACAUCAGUCCGAUUCAACAGCACCUCGUUAGUGAGUCUUUCUCUCGGUGGAUGUCGUGCAAUUACUACCCUUGAACUUAAAUGUCCUAAGCUUGAGAAGGUUAUUUUAGAUGGUUGUGAUCAUUUGGAAAGAGCAUCAUUUUGUCCUGUUGGUCUUCGGUCUCUCAAUUUAGGAAUAUGUCCAAAAUUGAACAUUCUCAGCAUUGAAGCAUCGUCGAUGGUCUCACUUGAGCUGAAAGGUUGUGGUGUACUAUCUGAGGCAUCCAUUAAUUGUCCUCUCUUGACAUCUCUGGAUGCUUCCUUUUGCAGCCAACUCACAGAUGCCUGCUUGUCUGCUACAACUGCUUCAUGCUCCCUGAUUGAGUCGCUAAUAUUGAUGUCUUGCCCAUCGAUCGGUUUACGUGGUCUCUGUUCUCUGCAGUUUCUUCCAAAUUUGACUCUCCUCGAUUUAUCGUACACUUUCUUGGUCGACUUGCAGCCUGUUUUUGAGUCUUGUUCACAGCUAAAGGUAUUGAAGUUGCAGGCGUGCAAAUAUCUCCCAGAUUCAUCCCUUGAACCUCUUUACAAGGGGGGUGCUUUACCAGCACUACAAGAGUUGGACCUGUCAUAUGGAACCCUGUGUCAGUCUGCUAUCGAAGAGCUUCUUUCUUGCUGCACACACCUUACACGUGUAAGCUUGAAUGGCUGUGUGAAUAUGCAUGAUUUGAAUUGGGGAUCCAGUCUUGGGGAGAUUGCCGAAAUGACUGGUGUGAAGAUCCUAUCCCAUCCAAGUUCCUCUGAGAUUGUCCACGAGUCAAGUGGGCAACCCACACGGUUACUGCAGAAUCUCAACUGUGUCGGAUGUCCAAAUAUCAGGAAAGUGUUCAUUCCAUUGGCAGCACAUUGUGCCAAUUUAUUAUACCUGAACCUCUCUCUCUCAACUAAUUUGAAGGAGGUUGAUGUUGCUUGUCUGAACCUAUGCUGGCUUAAUUUAAGUAAUUGUGCUGCUUUGGAAGUUUUGAAGCUAGAGUGCCCAAGAUUGGCCAGCCUAUUCCUUCAGUCUUGCAAUAUUGAUGAGAAAGCUGUUGAAGCCGCUAUUGCUAGAUGCACUAUGCUGGAAACUCUUGAUGUUCGCUUCUGUCCAAAGAUAAGCUCAAUGAGCAUGGCUAGAUUACGUGCUGCUUGUGCUAGUUUGAAGCGUAUAUUCAGCAGCUUGUCAACUUCAUGAAUUUGACAAAGGAUCUUCAAAGUUAUCUAGUGCACUUGGAGUGAAGCUGCACGUGAUCUGUCAUUGAAGGAGUCGGAAAGCUGUAACCAAAUACGCCAAAUAAUGGCAUAUAAUGUACAAUGCCUAAAAUUUUGUACUAGCCACCGUUAACUUUUAAGUGUCUUCAUCUACCAUCUUCAAACUAGUUGAUGGAUAAUAAAUUUGUUACAAUCAUGACUAUUAGCGUGUAGACGUUGACAUUAACACCAUCGAAUUAUAAGAAUGGUGUUACAUGUACAAGUAUUUUUGUAACAAAAGUCCAACAAAGUUGGUGCAAAUCCAGUGGGAAAAAACAAAAGCGAGCAUAUGUGGGAUAUAUGUACCAUUUCUCUUCUUCCUACGCAAUUUUUUUGAAGUAUAUAGCACACAAUUUUGCACAUAACAGAAGCAAAUCG
This is an RNA transcript of Arachis stenosperma, 3823 nucleotides long. It is a transcript of the gene named F-box/LRR-repeat protein 15, with no coding region annotated. The transcript has 18 exons. The record is from RefSeq and is a predicted model, not a curated record. NCBI's taxonomy places the organism in Eukaryota, Viridiplantae, Streptophyta, Magnoliopsida, Fabales, Fabaceae.